This 347-nucleotide ribosomal RNA is filed under the name Kinosternon herrerai (Herrara's mud turtle). RNAcentral describes it as "partial 12S ribosomal RNA". It matches the Rfam family "Bacterial small subunit ribosomal RNA", at positions 854 to 1361 of the family's 1533-position model. Lineage: Eukaryota; Metazoa; Chordata; Testudines; Kinosternidae. The record is from RNAcentral.
AAUACAAAAAAUAUUCGCCAGAGAAUUACGAGCUAAACAUGCUUAAAACUCUAAGGACUUGGCGGUACCUCAAACCCACCUAGAGGAGCCUGUUCUAUAAUCGACAAUCCACGAUUCACCUCACCAUCUCUUGCCAACUCCGCCUAUAUACCGCCGUCACAGCUUACCUUAUGAAAGAUAAAAAGUUAGCAAAAUAAUCUAAAUAAUUAACAAAUCAGGUCAAGGUGUAGCUUACUGAGAUGGAAGAAAUGGGCUACAUUUUCUAUACUAGAAAUAACUACGGAAAGAUACCUUGAAACAGGUUCUAUAAGCAGGAUUUAGCAGUAAACUGGGAAAAGAGAGCCCAA